AUGUUCCGGAUCCGGCCAUUGGUAAGAAUCAAAUGGGCCCAUGUCAGACAAGGCAUGGCUUUUAAUCUCCCUUUAUUUGCCAUGUCACCUGUCAGUGACCUUGCCUGUUGCCGGCUGCCUGGUGUUCUGCAGUUUACUGAUAAGUGUGUUUAUGCUUUUGAAGUCGUGUCUGCCGAAAAACCACAUCUGGUUCACCACCGCCUCAACAGAUACACAAUGAAAUACAAAGGCCAAUUCUGCGGUGUACACAAUCCGUGUCAGUUUACCCAGAGGAUUCCAGAUGGAAUGAACUCCGCAGACGGGGUUCACGGAGCGCAGGCGAUGCUGGGGGAGGAGCCCUCAUUGUCUCCCUUGGAAAUCGUAAGGGGAAUAUUGGUGCUGGGAGGACAUCUCGCGCUGCAGCGGUGGAGGCGGAGGCGUUUUACACGUUGUUAAGGUAGGAGUGACGGCAUCUGUAUUUAAACCUAAUAGAAAAUAUCAGCCACCGUUUCUUGAAUGUCUGCUCUAGGCCAGAGGCCGGGCUUAAGAAUUUUCUUUGCCUGGACACAGUUCUGUGAGGUCUCCGGAGGUGUGGCUCUUGAGCGUUUUAUAGAUGUGGUAAAGUGACCUUCCCCAAACUUGAGUGGCUUCGUGUUUUUGAUUGUUUACCUAAUCUCAUUGAUGUUGAGUAUAUGCCCAGGAGUUUGUUUAUUUGUUUGUUUAUUUAUUUGCUUUUUAGGGCCACACCUUUGGAAGUUCCUGGGCUGGGGGCCGAAUGGGAGCUGCCGUGACCCGCCUGCACCAAGCCACAGCAACGCGGGACCUGAGCCGCGUCUGCAGCCUCACACCACA
Molecule: long non-coding RNA, 831 nt
Filed under: Sus scrofa (pig)
Lineage: Eukaryota; Metazoa; Chordata; Mammalia; Artiodactyla; Suidae
Description: lncRNA (ENSSSCG00030063804.1)
Source: RNAcentral